CUCUCUGCCUCUGUUCCCAUCAGCUGUAGGAGCAGGCCUCUCUGGUGAUGAUAGGGCUAGGCAGUGAUCUUGUUAUCUAUAUUCAUGUGAUAUUCCUGGGAAGCCUGCUCUUUUCUGAAGGGAAAUUGAAGGAGCACAGAUAUGGUGGAGAGGGAAGGUGGGGUGAAAAUGAAGAAGCAGGAGAAGGGAAAGUGCAGUUGGAAUGCAUUAAGGGCAAGUAAUAACAUAACUGAUUGGUGAUUUUAUUACAUAUCUCCAUCUGGAACUUAGAGUGUCCAGGGACAUUGUCAUGGAGCAGUAGAAUUUUGAAAGGAAUUCUUUGUUAUUAGGUAGGUUUGAAAUACUCAGUGUUGUGGGAAGCUAUGUUAUCAUUCAGUUCUUGUCAUUCUAUUUACAUGGAGAGUAGAUUUAGCAUUUUGAAGGGCAGUAGGAUUUUUUUCAGGAUGAUAUUUUCCAGGAAAUGUUUCUUCCAGAAUAUAAGCAAAUGCUAACUUUUAUAAGAAUUGCAUCUAAUAUCUAAAAGUCAUCCACCUACAAGAGGAUUGAUACAGGGUGAUAUUUCAACUUAAUGACCCUCAUCUUCUAGUGAUUUGGACGAGAACAAAAGGAAAGCAGAGCUCUUCAAAUAGAGGAAAAAAUUUUAACAGUGAGAAUGAACAACAGAUCUAUGAUUGGUUGUACACAGCAAAGUCUCGCUUUUGAUGUUCUCUCAGACUAACACAAUUGACUCUGCAGAAGAUAAGACAGGCAUUGUUCUGUUCCAUGUUCAGAUACCACACAUCUUAUCUUGUAUCUAGCUAUGUAUGUAGGAUUAUGCUAGUUGGUGGACUUAAAUUGAUCUGUCUCUUUACCCUAAUGCCCUACACAAAGCUCUUUAUGGAUGUUAUGUGGUUAUAUUACCUCUUUCUUUCUCUAUUUUUUUUUAGCUGCCUUGUGCUUAAUAUUACUGCAUUCUUAAGGAAGUUAACUUUUCAGAAAAUUUCAGCUACAAUUCAUAUGUGACAUUAGAGUGCCCAGUUUAGAGUGUGCUGUCCCUGGGGCUGACUGAAAUGCUAGUGGCUCCCAUGGUCCACUGUAGUUUUUCAUCUCAGCAUAUUACUGAGAAGUGUUGAACUGCUGCUGCUAAGUGCUCAGGAUGGUUCUCUUUUGUCUGAACUGGCACCUUAAAUUGGAGCUAUAUUUUUUUUUUCUUUCAGGAUAAGAUUAGCUCAGACAGGCACAUGGUGAGACCUCAUCAGGGUCAGACCAUCAAUCCUGCCCCCAAAUAAACACAGUCACAGUGUGGUCUCUCACAACCUUACAGGCACUGUCAUGAAGAUUUCCAUCUUCAUAGUGAAAGAAAUAAGAGGAUUCUAUAAGGAUGUGGAAACACAGGAAGCAAGGAGGGGAGGGUAAGAAAGAAUGACAGAGUGAGUAACAAGAAACAUUAUAUUCAUGUAUGCAAAUAUCAUGAAAUUCAUUUCCUUUGACAAACUGAUAUACCAUUAUCAAAAUAAAAGCACUCUAGAAAAGACAUGCACUUACCUUCACCAUUUUUAUGAUUAUAAUUUGUCAAGUAGAUAAAAAGGAAUGAAAUAUAAAAGAGGCAAAUAAUUUAAAGAAUCGCUUUAAAGAUUUAUGUGAAAGUAUAUGCCCUCACUAGGUGCACAGAUUGAUCUGUUUUAACUAUAACUGGGUGUGUGAUAUAACUAAGGUCAUUAAAAUACAGAAACUAUCUUCAUCCCAAAUAUUAUCUCAUGGGACCAGUAGGUCAAAAGUCUUGAGGAAUGAUGUCAGAAGUCCAUGUAAAUUGAAACAUAUGAAGGUUAUUUUUCUCCCUAAGUGUGAUAAGUAAGUUGUAUCCAUUGUGUGGAUGUGUGGUAUCAGUAUCUUAUUUAAUCAUUUACAUUCCAAUGAAACAGUUGUUCGCGUUCAAUUUAUAAAUAAAGCUGCUUGUAAUAUUUUUCUA
Long non-coding RNA from Mastomys coucha (southern multimammate mouse), 1948 nucleotides. RefSeq lists it as uncharacterized. The transcript is spliced from 3 exons. NCBI's taxonomy places the organism in Eukaryota, Metazoa, Chordata, Mammalia, Rodentia, Muridae. The record is from RefSeq and is a predicted model, not a curated record.